UAGCCUUACAAAAUCCCUUUA
Molecule: non-coding RNA, 21 nt
Filed under: Arabidopsis thaliana (thale cress)
Lineage: Eukaryota; Viridiplantae; Streptophyta; Magnoliopsida; Brassicales; Brassicaceae
Source: RNAcentral